CUCAGGAGGCCCGUGCCCGUCCCUUCCUGACUCGUGUCCCCAGCUCCCACUGCAGUGACUGGCACAUAGUAGGUUCUGAACCACUUAGAAGGACUCGUUGGCUUUAUGGACUCCUCCAGAUGUUCUGAGGACUACGGCCCUGACUUGCCACUGCCGGAUGCAGGAUCCAUCUCCACCCCCGUCUCUGCGCCCUGCCCCGAGGAACAGGGCAGGCAACGGCAGCCAGAGACAGGAGCUGAUGACAGUACGGCAUGGAGUAGAGCCUACAAGGCUCCCUUAGAGCACCAACCUAUUGCGAUCAGACGGUGAUGGGCUGAGACCACAGUAGAAGUUUGGAGGGCAGCUGGUACGGAUGCUGAUAAAACCCUGAGUGCGGAGAGGAAGUACUCUACAUUCAAGCCAGCAGCACCCAGAUCUGAGCCUCGGAGCCCAGGCCACCACAACUACACCGGGCCACCCGCUGCCACCACCUUCCAAAUCCCCCAAUGAGAACCCAGUGGGAAAGAAACUUCUGGAACCCAUCAAUAGCCUUUCUUUGGAACCACUCUGCUGCCACAUAUUUCCCAGCCUUCAAAGACACAGAUGUCCUAUCUUGUCUGAUCGUUGGGGUGAGGACCCUGCCCUGUACCUGACCCACGAACUCAGUGCCCCGCACAGGUUGCAAAGGGGGUGUGUGGCAUCCACAUGAUCCAUACGCAGUACAAGGACAGAGGUCCUACCCCACUGGCAGAGAGACACAGGCGAUGCUCACCAAGUUCAGAAGAGAAAAAGGGAGCACUUCACAAGCUCAGGAGUUGAGUAGCGCCCAGCACGGCUUGGCUCCUGUCCUCUGUUACCGGUAAUUCAGAACACCAAGGGAUGGAUGUGGAAAGGUGGACGCUUCCAACUCGCAGGAAAAGGAAAUGACGGAGAAGAAUCUGAGUGCGUUCAAGAGACUUGGCUACGAGCAGACUCGCUACAGCACUGUCUGCAGAAUGACCAGCGAGGACACAGACUUCCAACUGGUUUCCAAGCAAAAGUGUACAUUUGUAUGAACUCAUGGUCUCUCUGUUCUGCAGACCACAGCCCCCCACUGCCGCUCCCACGAUGUUAUGCCACGGAUUGUUUUUUAAAAUGGAAAUUCUAGGGGUGCCUGGGUGGCUCAGUCGUUAAGCGUCUGCCUUCGGCUCAGGUCACGAUCCCAGGGUCCUGGGAUCGAGUCCCGCAUCGGGCUCCCUGCUCGGCGGGAAGCCUGCUUCUCCCUCUCCCACUCCCCCUGCUUGCGUUCCCUCUCUCGCUGUGUCUCUGUCAAAUAAAUAAAAUCUUAUAAAUAAUAAAUAAAUAAAUAUAAGUAAAUAAAA
Mirounga angustirostris (Northern elephant seal) is the source of this 1340-nucleotide long non-coding RNA. RefSeq lists it as uncharacterized. The transcript has 3 exons. The record is from RefSeq and is a predicted model, not a curated record. NCBI's taxonomy places the organism in Eukaryota, Metazoa, Chordata, Mammalia, Carnivora, Phocidae.